Non-coding RNA from Carcharodon carcharias (great white shark), 82 nucleotides. NCBI's taxonomy places the organism in Eukaryota, Metazoa, Chordata, Chondrichthyes, Lamniformes, Lamnidae. The record is from the annotation of a RefSeq genome assembly.
GUAGUCGUGGCCGAGUGGUUAAGGCAAUGGACUUGAAAUCCAUUGGGGUUAACUUGUACAGGUUCAAAUCCUGCUGACUAGG